CCACGAGGGCUCCCGUAGAAGACGGGGUUGAUGGGGCGGGGGUGUAAGCCCCGAGGGGGCUUCCGCCCUCGAGGGGUGAAGCCCGCCGCUCCCAAUCGCCCGAGGCCGUAGGCUG
RNAcentral lists this ribosomal RNA (115 nucleotides) under Aeropyrum sp. RNAcentral describes it as "partial 23S ribosomal RNA". It matches the Rfam family "Archaeal large subunit ribosomal RNA", at positions 2881 to 2987 of the family's 2987-position model. Lineage: Archaea; Thermoproteati; Thermoproteota; Thermoprotei; Acidilobales; Acidilobaceae. The record is from RNAcentral.